Molecule: long non-coding RNA, 807 nt
Organism: Nycticebus coucang (slow loris)
Lineage: Eukaryota; Metazoa; Chordata; Mammalia; Primates; Lorisidae
Exons: 3
Source: RefSeq, a predicted model, not a curated record
GACAUGAUGAUGGCACUGGUUAUUUUACCAAGGCUUUGGCUGGAACAGCAUUUCCAGAGGUGUCCAGACUGCAUUAAGGAAUUAUAAGGCCAAUAAAAAAAGCCCUUUAGAAAACUGGCCAGAUACCCAUCAGUAGCAUUUCCUUAUCUGUGGCUGCUGCAUAGACUUAGCCUGAGUUGCAGAUGUGUGAUCAAUUUAUUAUGCUGUCUCCAAAUGUGGCCAAGGCACAAUUUGUUAAGAAUUCCUUAAGACGACUGUUCUCAAAGUAUAGUUUCCAACCAGCAUCAUUACCAUCACCAGGAAUCUUGUUAGUUUUUGGCUGGGGCCAGGUUUGAACCCACCACCUCUGGUAUAUGGGACCAGCACCCUACUCAUUUGAGCCACAGGCACUGCCUAAUAAGCCUUUCCUCUUUCAAACAUGGUGUUUGGGUGCUCUUUCUCUCCAUUGGGCCUCAUCUUCCUGCAACAUCAAGGUGAGAGCAUUCAAGGGGGAGGAAGAGAACUUUGGUUUUUUUGGUCCCUAGGAAGAAGGGCGUAGCCGGGAUUCCUAACAUUAAUGGAGUUGCCGAGGUACCUUCCCCAGUCCCUGUCUGCUCUUUCCAAAAGAUACUUCUGAUGUGAUUUGGAGACCUGAAGUUUUGGUUAUGAGUCCUAUGCCCACUGGCAAAUCUUCCCUUUUAAACAUGCUCAUACAUACACAGAAAUACAUAACCGCACAUCCAGUCCUUUUCCUUUAGUAUCAGUCCUGACAUGAGCUCUGUGAUGUUUAUAAUACCACCUUAACAGUGCUACAAAACUACAUGGAAA